RNAcentral lists this long non-coding RNA (2104 nucleotides) under Equus caballus (horse). RNAcentral describes it as "lncRNA (ENSECAG00000048513.1)". The record is from RNAcentral. Lineage: Eukaryota; Metazoa; Chordata; Mammalia; Perissodactyla; Equidae.
GUCACAUGGUGAUAAAUUCUAUGGACAAAAAUAUGGGAAGUCACUGGGGAGAACCAGAGUGAGGGUGAGGCACACAUUGCUCUUUUCAGUAGGGUGUCAGAGGUCACAUCACGAGGAAGGUGAUGUUUGAGCAAAGGUCUGAUGGAAGUGAGGGCAGGAGCGAUGUGGAUAUUAGGAAAAGAAAGUUCCAGGUAGGAAGAACAGCAGGUGAAAUGGCCAGUGAGACUGAGACACAGACAGGUGAUGCCACAGAUCACAGAGUUUUAAAAACCCAUUGUCCUUUCUCCCUCACCGGAGGAAACCACAGUCCUGAAUUCGAUGUCCAGUUUCAUGUGGAUGUUUUUAUACUUUUACUACGUCUACCUAAGAGAUUCAGCUGCACUCGGAUACGCUUGCGGCGAGCUCCCUGAAGAGUUUCCCUGUGCUUGGAGGAAGAAGUAACGUCAGUAAAUCAAAAUUUACACCCUGUUGACCUUGGAAAUACAAAGGCAACACAAUAAACCAACAUGAGUUUGCUCUGCAAGAUCCAGUUGGGAAAGGAAGAAGCAUUUAUUUCUCUUGCUUUCCACACAUACCUUUGAAGUGUCUUAGCAUCAAAAGAAACACCCAGCCUGAAACUAUAUUUUCUUUACUCAAAACGUGUGGUAGUCUCAAGAUGACAGCUAGAUUUUUCUGGCAUGAACAGUAAAGGUCAACUUUGGCAAUGUUCCAUUAAUACAUGACUGCAAACAUUUUUAUACAUAAGAGCCUACAGGCAUUCGAACAUCGACUGUAAUUGAAAACCAGAUGUUGUGAGAAAAACCCUACAAGCCGCUACUUCCAAAUUAAAAACCACCUAGGUCUUUGUCCGGGGCCUCAGUGGCCGCAGUUUCCACCUCAGACCUCUGUGGUGCUCCUGCUGGGAUUUGGAGGUUUGCUCAGAAUCUUCCAUUCAUCUAAUUAGUCCUUUGGGAGAAAGAAAGAUGAAAGGAAGGGAGGGCAGGAGACACAGAGAUGCUUCACAUGGCUGUUUAGACCACGAAUGUAGCUCAUCUAGGAAAGAACUGGUGACAUGAAAAUAAUGAAACAGAAGGAUUGAGCUCUGUGAAUUGAGAGGUUUUGUCUUCAUUUAGAUAAAGUCACCAUUAAGCCACUCCUAUUUCCUUACUCUUAACUAAGGUGGAAUCAGGAAAGGAAAUGCAAAGUUGGGUCACCUUUUCCAAAUGGCUUCAGAAAAACUUCCCUAAUCAGGGGCCCCCAAAAGGAGGAAAUAUACUGGGGUGUAUAAGGCCUUGGUAGAUGAAGUGUGAGGAAUUUCUCUCUUGCCACCUGAUUCCGGUUAGAAAUUCACUGGCUGUGUCGCUGACUGAACAAAACAGAGGAUAAUAGCCGCUGGCUGAAGAUUUUAUAAUUGAAGCUGAGACAGAGUGGGCCAUGUGCAUGUUUAGAACAGUGAUUGCAUUGUGAAUUACAACAGAAGUCCCACUUGUCAGUCACACAAACGUUUAAGAGCAUAGAAAGGCAUCUGAUUUGGGACAAGGAUGACAAAAUAGAUCUUUUGGUUUCUCCCACUUUGCCCUGAGUACAAAGGGACUGAUGACUGCUUUGUUCUGGGAUAGAGUUUUAAUUCCUCUUAGGAUCUACCCAAUUAUUAACAGAGAAAGAAAAUUCCUGUCUGGAACCACUCCUACCACUUUCCGAAAGAAGUAAUCUUUAGUCCUCAUCAUCCAAUGAGAGAAAGAGAGUAAUAUAAAUGAUAUCGUGCCAGAUUUUUUGCUUUGUUUAUAAUCAUUACUUUUCCUCAUGUAUCUUUAGUGAUGUCUCAAUGUUAAACAACUGUAGUAAACACUGUUAAGAAACAUGGCUCUAAUUUGACAAUAUCAGUCAACAUUUAAAAUGCCUCUACCCUUUGAACCAGGAAUUACAUUUUUAAGAAUUUCUUUAACAGAUAAACUGAGAGAUGUGGAAAAUGAUAUAUUUACAAAGAUAAGCUUGGCAGCAUUGUUUGUAACAUCCAAAGAGUGAAAACAACCCAAAAGUUCAUCAACAGAUCAAUUAAAUAAAUUACUGUAUGUUUACACAAGGAAAUGGAGUAUCAGAUUAAAGUCUGGUUCCAGUCCUUGUC